RNAcentral lists this ribosomal RNA (508 nucleotides) under uncultured bacterium. Its description in RNAcentral is "bacterial SSU rRNA". It matches the Rfam family "Bacterial small subunit ribosomal RNA", at positions 30 to 518 of the family's 1533-position model. The record is from RNAcentral.
CGAACGCUGGCGGCGUGCUUAACACAUGCAAGUCGAACGCGAAAGGGACUUCGGUCCUGAGUAAAGUGGCGCACGGGUGAGUAACGCGUAGAUAACCUGUCUUCAUGUCUGGAAUAAUACGCCGAAAGGGGUACUAAUACCGGAUAUUCUUGCUUUUCAUAAGUUAUGCAAGCAAAGGUGGCCUCUGCAUAUGCUACUGCAUGAAGAGGGGUCUGCGUACCAUUAGCUAGUAGGUGGGGUAAUGGCCUACCUAGGCGACGAUGGUUAGCGGGUCUGAGAGGAUGAUCCGCCACACUGGCACUGGAACACGGGCCAGACUCCUACGGGAGGCAGCAGUGAGGAAUAUUGCGCAAUGGGGGAAGCCCUGACGCAGCGACGCCGCGUGAGUGAGGAAGGCCUUCGGGUCGUAAAGCUCUGUCAAGAGGAAAGAAGUGUACAAUGGCUAAUACCUGUUGUAUUUGACGGUACCUCUAAAGGAAUCACCGGCUAACUCCGUGCCAGCCGCCGC